Molecule: long non-coding RNA, 456 nt
Organism: Mustela erminea (ermine)
Lineage: Eukaryota; Metazoa; Chordata; Mammalia; Carnivora; Mustelidae
Exons: 3
Source: RefSeq, a predicted model, not a curated record
GUCACGUCAGAAGCAGCCAGAGUUUUGAUAUGCCUUCUUUUUGACAUGUGGGUCCCUUACCAGGCCUGAAGAAGAGGAGAAAUAAGCAUCAUCUAAAUGGAAAUCACAUAUUUUGCAUCAAUUCAGUUCAACAGACAUGAAUUGGGUGUCCUGUCUCUACAGCAGGUAUUAUGAGGAGGUGUAAGAAUGCAUUAGAGAGUUCCUGCCUUCAGGGCUUUCAGGAAUGGUCUGUGGUUCACCAAUCAAGAUGUAUCCCUUGAAAAGCAAAAUUUUUUUCAAAGACCAGAAUUCAACAAGGAUUAGAAUAGCAACAUAAAAGAGGACCUAUCCAGAAGAAUGAGAUUGCACAGAGACAUCUUCGUGGAAAGAAUGGUACAGUGGUACGAGACUCAAGAGUAAGGUUCACGCCUAUCCUCAGGGUUGGCCUUAGACUCAAUGCCCAGCAUGGAGUCCAAC